CAUCUUCGCUAGCCAAGGGUUACGAUCCACUACCGCUCUCUUCACCCAUGGCAGAUUGAGCCAACAUUUGUGAUAUCAAUGUCGCGCCAUCUAUCGGAAGAUUAAAGUCACGCCCAUUCCGAAUACAUUAUUCUUGACCAAUGGUAGCACUUGAACUCUUCAAUUUGGAGGUAAAAACACGGUAGUGUCUAGAUUCUACCCACUUGGUAAAGCCGGAAACGAAAAAAUACGUCAACAUCCAUGCAUUUGUGCAUGAAACUUACACAGGAACUUCUAUUUGUUGAUUAAAAACAUUCAAGUUGUCACUAAAUAUAGUCGUAUGUUUAG
Molecule: long non-coding RNA, 327 nt
Filed under: Mytilus galloprovincialis (Mediterranean mussel)
Lineage: Eukaryota; Metazoa; Mollusca; Bivalvia; Mytilida; Mytilidae
Source: RNAcentral